CACCGCCGCGGUAAUACGGAGGGUGCAAGCGUUAAUCGGAAUUACUGGGCGUAAAGCGCACGCAGGCGGUCUGUCAAGUCAGAUGUGAAAUCCCCGGGCUUAACCUGGGAACUGCAUUUGAGACUGGCAGGCUAGAGUCUUGUAGAGGGGGGUAGAAUUCCAGGUGUAGCGGUGAAAUGCGUAGAGAUCUGGAGGAAUACCGGUGGCGAAGGCGGCCCCCUGGACAAAGACUGACGCUCAGGUGCGAAAGCGUGGGGAGCAAACAGGAUUAGAUACCCGGGUAGUCCCUGUCUCUUAUACA
RNAcentral lists this ribosomal RNA (301 nucleotides) under uncultured bacterium. RNAcentral's name for it is "partial 16S ribosomal RNA". It matches the Rfam family "Bacterial small subunit ribosomal RNA", at positions 510 to 808 of the family's 1533-position model. The record is from RNAcentral.